Gracilinanus agilis (Agile Gracile Mouse Opossum) is the source of this 271-nucleotide long non-coding RNA. RefSeq lists it as uncharacterized. The transcript is spliced from 3 exons. Lineage: Eukaryota; Metazoa; Chordata; Mammalia; Didelphimorphia; Didelphidae. The record is from RefSeq and is a predicted model, not a curated record.
GUCAGUAACAGCAGAGCAGAGGGAGAGAGAGAGGAACUCCGGCUGGGGCAGCGCUCCAAAGGCGGAGUGAAGUGUUCGUGUUUGGAGUCCUAUCAAGACCAGAGAAGCCUUCACUAUGUUCCUGGAUAAAAGACCACUUAAUGCCCUUUAUCUGUUUUAUUCCACAAGUGGACUGACUUCAGAAGCAGCAAAGUUAAAUUGUGAAUCAAAAGCAAGGAGGAACACUAAUUGAAUGCAAACUGAAAUAAAAUAUUAGUUUUUUUCUGAACAG